Molecule: long non-coding RNA, 181 nt
Organism: Sinocyclocheilus rhinocerous
Lineage: Eukaryota; Metazoa; Chordata; Actinopteri; Cypriniformes; Cyprinidae
Exons: 3
Source: RefSeq, a predicted model, not a curated record
ACAGAUAGGUCCAUCAGACAACAAAGGUAUCAACAAAAAGGUAUCAACAAAGCCAUCAGACAACAACAAAGAUAAGACGAAGACAGGGAACAUGCCUAAGAGAAUCUCAAAAAGUUUACCGGACAGCUACAAAGUAACGAGGAUAAAGGAUGAAUCUGCGGCAAAAUCAUUGCAACAAAAG